RNAcentral lists this ribosomal RNA (904 nucleotides) under uncultured bacterium. RNAcentral's name for it is "bacterial SSU rRNA". It matches the Rfam family "Bacterial small subunit ribosomal RNA", at positions 52 to 989 of the family's 1533-position model. The record is from RNAcentral.
UACAUGCAAGUCGAGCGGUAAGGCCUCUUCGGAGGUACACGAGCGGCGGACGGCUGAGUAACACGUAGGAACGUACCCCAAAGUGAGGGAUAACUGCUCGAAAGAGUAGCUAAUACCGCAUGUGAUCCACGGAUUAAAGCUUUAUGCGCUUUGGGAACGGCCUGCGUCCGAUUAGCUUGUUGGUGAGGUAAUGGCUCACCAAGGCGAUGAUCGGUAGCUGGUCUGAGAGGAUGAUCAGCCAGACUGGGACUGAGACACGGCCCAGACUCCUACGGGAGGCAGCAGUAGGGAAUUUUCCACAAUGGGCGAGAGCCUGAUGGAGCAACGCCGCGUGCAGGAUGAAUGCCUUCGGGUUGUAAACUGCUUUUGUUAGUGACGAUUAUGACGGUAGCUAACGAAUAAGGGUCUGCUAACUACGUGCCAGCAGCCGCGGUCAUACGUAGGACCCAAGCGUUAUCCGGAAUUACUGGGCGUAAAGAGUUGCGUAGGUGGCAUAGUAAGUAGAUAGUGAAAGCGUGUGGCUCAACCAUACAUCCAUUAUCUAAACUGCUAAGCUUGAAGAUGAGAGAGGUAGAUGGAAUUCCUGAUGUAGGGGUAAUAUCCGUAGAUAUCAGGAGGAACACCGAUGGCGUAGGCAGUCUACUGGCUCAUUCUUGACACUAAGGCACGAAAGCGUGGGGAGCAAACGGGAUUAGAUACCCCGGUAGUCCACGCCGUAAACUAUGGAUGCUAGCUGUAAGCCGUAUCGACCCGGCUUGUAGCGAAGCUAACGCGUUAAGCAUCCCGCCUGUGGAGUACGGUCGCAAGACUAAAACAUAAAGGAAUUGACGGGGACCCGCACAAGCGGUGGAGCGUGUUGUUUAAUUCGAUGGUAAGCGAAGAACCUUACCCAGGCUUGACAUCC